Loxodonta africana (African savanna elephant) is the source of this 57-nucleotide microRNA precursor. Lineage: Eukaryota; Metazoa; Chordata; Mammalia; Proboscidea; Elephantidae. The record is from Ensembl.
GCCCGCGUGUGGGGCCAGGUGGGGAGCCUGUGCACAGCUGGCUCUAAUUUCAGGGGC